This 253-nucleotide ribosomal RNA is filed under the name uncultured bacterium. RNAcentral describes it as "partial 16S ribosomal RNA". It matches the Rfam family "Bacterial small subunit ribosomal RNA", at positions 524 to 776 of the family's 1533-position model. The record is from RNAcentral.
GACGUAGGGGACCAGCGUUGUUCGGAAUUACUGGGUGUAAAGGGUUCGUAGGCGGUGCGGCAAGUUGGGAGUGAAAUCUCUGGGCUUAACCCAGAGGCUGCUUCCAAAACUGCUGUGCUUGAGUGUGGGAGAGGCGCGUGGAAUUGCAGGUGUAGCGGUGAAAUGCGUAGAUAUCUGCAGGAACACCCGUAGCGAAAGCGGCGCGCUGGACCACUACUGACGCUGAGGAACGAAAGCUAGGGGAGCAAACAGG